UUUGCAUCUUCUCGAUGGUGAUUACUCCAUAAGUUUACAUGGUAUCAUAGCUAAAGUGUUCGAGCAGGAGUUCAUCAUCAAUUUGUGGUUAUUCAGCUUGUGGUUGUUCAACUUUGUAGUGAUUUUUUGUUGAUUUGCUUAUUACUGUUUCUUUUAGAGCUUCGAUCUGUAAUUCAUGGUGAUUGAUGAGUCCAGUGAUGCAGCAGUUGUCCCAUCCCAUUCAAUCAAGAUUGAUCAUUAUCAUCCCAUGUAUCUGCAUCCAUCAGAUACCUCAG
This 275-nucleotide long non-coding RNA is filed under the name Solanum tuberosum (potato). RNAcentral describes it as "long non-coding RNA (STUB_LNC007618)". The record is from RNAcentral. Lineage: Eukaryota; Viridiplantae; Streptophyta; Magnoliopsida; Solanales; Solanaceae.